This 119-nucleotide ribosomal RNA is filed under the name Pteropus alecto (black flying fox). RNAcentral also lists the same sequence under 1 other name. The record is from RNAcentral. Lineage: Eukaryota; Metazoa; Chordata; Mammalia; Chiroptera; Pteropodidae.
GUCUACGGCCAUGCCACCCUGAACAAGCCUGAUCCCAUCUGAUCUCAGAAGCUAAGCAGGGUUGGGCCUGGUUAAUACUUGGAUGGGAGAACACCUAGGAAGACCAGGUGCUGUAGGUG